GGAAUAUUUCACAGAAUGUGCACUUUUACCCGCAUUUAAUUAUUAUUUCCUUUCUGUGCUUCAUUAGCAUGUGUGUUAUAGAGAUGAGAGAGUUUGCCUUCCGUGAAACUAAUUUUGCUCCACAUUGUUUUGUUUAAGGUGGUUGUGGGCAACGAUAAAACCUUCACAUAUGACUGUGUUUGAUCCCACAACAAAGCAGGAGGAAGUGUUUAACACGGCCGUGUUGUCUCUGAUCUCUGGCCUAUUCAAAGGUUAUAACGCCACAGUGCUAGCGUACGGCCAGACCGGCUCAGGAAAGUCCUUCUCCAUGGGAGGCACCUACAAGAGAGCGCAAGAGAAAGAACCUACUGUUGGCGUCAUCCCCAGAGUGGUUCGGAAAAUCUUUCAGGAAAGAGACAAGAGGACAGAGUGUGAAUUCCUCCUCUCUGUUUCAUAUCUUUAGGUCUGAGGAAGCUGCAAACGUGUUGAAGAUUCUGGAGUGUAACCGGCGUCUACAGUAGGGGUGUACCUCGGACGGGAAGUGGCGUAAGGGUGCACCGCUGAUGUUAGCAUUAGCAAACCUAGUUUUAAACAUUACCAUGGCUGAAUCCUAAAGAGUCAGACCGGCCCCCGCGGCGUGCAGAGCUGACGUGUGGGCUCAUUUUGGCUUCCACAAUAAAGAAGGCACCAAGGAGGUCAACAAGAGCCAUGCUGUUUGCAAAAUGUGCAAUGCAAAAAUCAAAUACUCAGGGAACACAACGAAUCUGAGAGCACACUUGGCCAGACACCACUCGAAUGUACAGCUAGUGGCUUACUCUAAACAAGUGGACCCUUCUCAUCUCAUUCUGGUACAAGUUCAUGCACCGAUGUUACCACCAACUUCAACUCGUGCAACUAAAAUAACUCAGUCAGUACUUUACUUCAUUUGCAAAGAUAUGCAACCUCUCAGUAUUGUAGAGAAUGAAGGAUUUCGUAAUAUGAAUACACUGGAGCCUCGUUAUAUCAUACCCUCCCGACAACACAUCACUGACAUCGCUCUGCCCAAGUUGUACAUGGAGGUAAAAACAAGAGUGGUAGAAUCUCUCGGCUCAGCUAAAAAACAGGUUAAUUGCAGACGUUGUCACAAGGUGGAACAGCUUUUAUGACAUGAUAGAAAGAUUUUUAGAACUGCAGCCAGCCAACUUGGUAAUGUCAGAGGAGAGCAUGCCCACUCUAUCAUUGCACGACUUUAUGCCAAGCUUGUUGCGGACACAGAAGAAAGCCAGGAUGACACACAGACUGUGAAGGGCAUCAAGGCUGCUAUAGCAGAAGAUCUGGGAAAGAGAUGCCAAUAAGAGGGAGACACUGCGCAUGGCAUCAGCUGUUGACCCUAGGUUUAAGGAUCUACUCUUUCUCUCUCAAGCACAGGCCAGUGAGACCCACUCCAAAUUGACUGAAGCUGUGGUGGCUGCCAUAAAGAUCAGCAAGAGGAGGUAGACAGUCCAUUGGAGGAGACUGACCAGCUAGAGGAGGUUGAUCGCCCACCUGACUAUAAGCAUUCACCUGCUCCUUCCACUUCCCCUGCCCCCACUUCCCAACCACCUAUAAAGAGACUAAAGAGCUCAUGUGCAUUGGCUGACUUGCUUGGAUCUACAUUUGGCUCUGCCAAAGACAAUUCUGCGCCAAAGACAAUUCUGCACCAAAGUCCAUACAUGAUGUUGCUGCAUCUGAGAUUAAAAGGUUUAGAGAACAAACCCCUUUGCCACUCCCAGAAAAUCCUCUCAGUUGGUGGAAUGAACAUGAACAUGAGUACCCUCAGUUAUCCAGAGUAGCAAAGCAGUUCCUGUGCAUUCCUGGCAUGAGUGUCUCUGCGGAGACAGUUUUCCCCACUACAGGUGACACGAAGUGUUCUGAAGGCGGAGCAUGUUGACCAGCUGGUCUUUCUCCACAAACCUUAAUACUUGACAAAAAUAAGCACUAACAUGCGAACUACAGUAAUGUGAAAUCCAAGUUAAAAGGAUCUAAGAAUGUUUACAUUUGUUUAAUGUUUCCUUUGGAAAUCCUGUAAGCACUUAUUUUUCAUUGAUAAUGGUAGAUUUAAAUCCCUUGCUCAGGUUGCACAAAAAUAGUGUUAUGUUGGAUGUUACAAUGAGACUGAGCACUUUUAUUUCUUUACUGAUGCAGACAAAUCUUUUGUUCAGAUUGCACAGAAGUAGUGCUAUGUUAAGUUCUGAUAAACUUGACUUUUUGCCAAGAUUUUAUGUGUAUGGUGGUGUGUUGCUUAUUCCAUGACAGUUUUCCUACAAUUAGAUUUUUAAAAAAGUCGCAAUAUA
Long non-coding RNA from Hemibagrus wyckioides, 2291 nucleotides. RefSeq lists it as uncharacterized. Lineage: Eukaryota; Metazoa; Chordata; Actinopteri; Siluriformes; Bagridae. The transcript has 5 exons. The record is from RefSeq and is a predicted model, not a curated record.